RNAcentral lists this ribosomal RNA (450 nucleotides) under uncultured bacterium. RNAcentral describes it as "partial 16S ribosomal RNA". It matches the Rfam family "Bacterial small subunit ribosomal RNA", at positions 354 to 796 of the family's 1533-position model. The record is from RNAcentral.
GUGGGGAAUUUUGGACAAUGGGCGCAAGCCUGAUCCAGCAAUGCCGCGUGCAGGAAGAAGGCCUUCGGGUUGUAAACUGCUUUUGUACGGAACGAAACGGUCCGGGUUAAUACCCUGGGCUAAUGACGGUACCGUAAGAAUAAGCACCGGCUAACUACGUGCCAGCAGCCGCGGUAAUACGUAGGGUGCAAGCGUUAAUCGGAAUUACUGGGCGUAAAGCGUGCGCAGGCGGUUUUGUAAGACAGGCGUGAAAUCCCCGGGCUCAACCUGGGAAUUGCGCUUGGGACUGCAAGGCUGGAGUGCGGCAGAGGGGGAUGGAAUUCCGCGUGUAGCAGUGAAAUGCGUAGAUAUGCGGAGGAACACCGAUGGCGAAGGCAAUCCCCUGGGCCUGCACUGACGCUCAUGCACGAAAGCGUGGGGAGCAAACAGGAUUAGAAACCCUAGUAGUCC